GACGAACGCUGGCGGCGUGCUUAACACAUGCCAGUCGAACGGAAAGGCCCUGCUUUUGUGGGGUGCUCGAGUGGCGAACGGGUGAGUAACACGUGAGUAACCUGCCCUUGACUUGGGGAUAACUUCAGGAAACUGGGGCUAAUACCGGAUAGGAGCUCCUGCUGCAUGGUGGGGGUUGGAAAGUUUCGGCGGUUGGGGAUGGACUCGCGGCUUAUCAGCUUGUUGGUGGGGUAGUGGCUUACCAAGGCCGUGACGGGUAGCCGGCCUGAGAGGGUGACCGGCCACAUUGGGACUGAGAGAGGGCCCAGACUCCUACGGGAGGCAGCAGUGGGGAAUAUUGCACAAUGGGCGGAAGCCUGAUGCAGCAACGCCGCGUGCGGGAUGACGGCCUUCGGGUUGUAAACCGCUUUCGCCUGUGACGAAGCGUGAGUGACGGUAAUGGGUAAAGAAGCACCGGCUAACUACGUG
RNAcentral lists this ribosomal RNA (468 nucleotides) under uncultured bacterium. Its description in RNAcentral is "partial 16S ribosomal RNA". It matches the Rfam family "Bacterial small subunit ribosomal RNA", at positions 28 to 507 of the family's 1533-position model. The record is from RNAcentral.